GACGAAAGUCUGACGGAGCAACGCCGCGUGAGUGAAGAAGGUUUUCGGAUCGUAAAGCUCUGUCUUCAGGGACGAACGUGCUCUUUACAAAUAGUGAAGAGCAAUGACGGUACCUGAGGAGGAAGCCACGGCUAACUACGUGCCAGCAGCCGCGGUAAUACGUAGGUGGCAAGCGUUGUCCGGAAUUAUUGGGCGUAAAGAACGCGUAGGCGGGAUAUCAAGUCUGUUUUAAAAGUGCGGGGCUCAACUCCGUGAUGGAAUGGAAACUGAUAUUCUUGAGUGCAGGAGAGGAAAGUGGAAUUCCCAGUGUAGCGGUGAAAUGCGUAGAUAUUGGGAGGAACACCAGUGGCGAAGGCGACUUUCUGGACUGUGUCUGACGCUGAGGCGUGAAAGCCAGGGUAGUGAACGGGAUUAGAUACCCCGGUAAUCCUGGCCGUAAACGAUGGGUACUAGGUGUAGAGGGUAUCGACCCCUUCUGUGCCGGAGUUAACGCAAUAAGUACCCCGCCUGGGGAGUA
This 517-nucleotide ribosomal RNA is filed under the name uncultured bacterium. RNAcentral's name for it is "bacterial SSU rRNA". It matches the Rfam family "Bacterial small subunit ribosomal RNA", at positions 374 to 882 of the family's 1533-position model. The record is from RNAcentral.